AUCACCCAGAAAAUGUACCUCUGUUGGUAUCACAUACAUGAUCAAACAUUUGACACGUUAUCCAGAUACUGACUGUUAGCAGUUGGUGGUCUGUAGCAGUUUGAGAGAGAGAAUAACAGUUCAUUUUUCUUUCAAAAGUUUCAUUUCUGAUGAACCAAAAGAACAAAGAUUUCCCUUCAGUGAACUCGAUGACAACAACCAACUCAAUGACUCAACAGACUCACUGGGGUCAGAGGGAGAGUUUGGGAGUACAGUUUGACACUUCAUGCUCAGAAAUCUCCCAGAGAUAUGGUCCAGCUACUACAAUAGAGAGAGGAAUAGGAGGAACAGAAGUGUUGGGCUAUAGAGGCAUCUCCAUUCCACUUCCAUCCUCAGCAUCUCAAUACUCAGGCAGCACCAUGUUCCCAUUGGUCCAUCCCCAGGACGAGAGGACUCCAUCGGCUCACCAUGCAGAGAGAUUCAUUUUCCCAUUGGCUCAUCAUUACACAGACGUGAGGACAGUCUUCUCAUUGGCUCAUCAGACUGAGAGGAUGGGACAUUCACUGAACUAUCAUUGGGAUGAUGGGUCAGAUUUCCAAUUUUCUCAUCACCAAACAGAUGAAAGGAUUCUAUUGGCUCAUCACAGGGAGAGGACUGGUGGUCCAUCGCUUAUAUGACAGAAUGUCUCUCCCCUUUUCUCGCAUCAGUGAAUGUCAGAGCCAAACAUUCUCACACACACACACACACACACACACACACACACACACACACACACACACACACACACACACACACACACACACACACACACACACACACACACACACACACACACACACACACACACACCCCUCUAUGGCUCUGUUGAUUACUACUGGGCAGGGUAUGCAAUAGAGUGGGUACAGAGACAUUCCAAUCGUGACCUAAUGUGUUUAAAAUGAAAUUUCUACAGGCUAUUGCAACAUAUCUCAGUGAAA
Molecule: non-coding RNA, 956 nt
Organism: Oncorhynchus mykiss (rainbow trout)
Lineage: Eukaryota; Metazoa; Chordata; Actinopteri; Salmoniformes; Salmonidae
Source: RefSeq, a predicted model, not a curated record